GUCGCUGCUAUAAAAGGCAAUCGAAAACAAAGGAAGUUAGACACGAUGUCACAUACAUGCACGUGGCAGCUGGCGGGAAAAACUGGUCUACCCUUCCCCGCCAAUCAACGUAAGGCAAAUCGCCGACUGUGGCGCUGUAUGCACUUUCAAGACCGGCAGAUGUUUUUUCCCUCUAUACACAUACGCACGCGCAUAGGCGAAUAAAAAGAAAAACCCGGUCAAUAACCUUGACAUCCGAGGAAUUUCGAGUUUCAGCCAUUCAAGCAAGCACCGAACCAAGCCAAGAGACUUUUGGCCCGAGGCUGUUCCGUCGAAGGGCGCACAUACAGCAAGACAAGCACCUACCAUGGCCGCCAGUAAAAUUUUUUCUUCCCCUCCCCUUUUACUUCAUACCUCCACCCCUCCGCCUCACCUAUUCUUUGACGCAUCGGCCCCCUAUCCGCCUUUCAGAACAUAAACGGGAGAUACGACUUAAAAGCUGACAGGACGCAUGCUCCGCUGGUACAUCCUACACACACGGCAGAUACACACACCGCCUGCAUGCAGCUUGUAGCAGCGGGCCGGCAUCCAGCAACACACACCGGCGCCAUCUUGCCGCCUUCCCGAACUUUCCUCUUACCCAAGCGAUUGCUAGUACGCGGUCAUCGAACGCGCCACAAGAAACAUUUUCACAUGCGGCGUGUGACAAGUAAAGAGAAAUGCUCACCUGGUUUCGACGUGUGUGUCAGCCAUUUUAGAUUACAAAUACACUGCUUGCAGUUAAAGUAGAGAUUUUAAAAAGUGUUCGAAUUUCGGUGUGUAGGAGAACUUAGUCAGCCCGUGUUACUAGUAAUCUGCACACUUGUUAGUCUGACGGAAGGCGCUGCACGAAUGGAAGUGUCUCGCUGUAUACACGUUCGAUCUCGAAA
Molecule: long non-coding RNA, 908 nt
Organism: Daphnia magna
Lineage: Eukaryota; Metazoa; Arthropoda; Branchiopoda; Diplostraca; Daphniidae
Exons: 2
Source: RefSeq, a predicted model, not a curated record